RNAcentral lists this long non-coding RNA (448 nucleotides) under Vigna radiata. RNAcentral's name for it is "long non-coding RNA (VRAD_LNC013337)". The record is from RNAcentral. Lineage: Eukaryota; Viridiplantae; Streptophyta; Magnoliopsida; Fabales; Fabaceae.
AGAGAGAUGAAGGAGAAAGGGUUGAGAGGAAUGAAGGAGGUGAGUAAGGGUUUGGGGUUUUCCUUUUUUAGUUUUGAGAAUGAAAAUUAUUAAAAUAAGACAAGUGUUUCUGAUUUUUUUCAAUUGAAGCUAGAGUAGGGAUGACAGAGAAAAGAAAAGGUUGGAGUGAAAGAGAUGAAAGAGAAAUGGUUGAGAAGAAUGAGAGAGAUGGGUAAGGGUUUGGGGGUUUCUUUUUUUAAUUUUUUAAUUUUGAGAAUGAAAAUUAUUAAAAUACCCUUAACCUUAAAACUUAGAAUUCAUGAUAUAUAGAGAUAUUUUUGUCUACUGAAACCCGGUACACAUUGCUAAAAUGUACCAACUGAAAAACAGACAUACGCAAGUUAGCAAACCCCAUAUAUAUAUAUAUAUAUAUAUAUACACACACACGACACUUAACAUCCAAAAAUUG